RNAcentral lists this ribosomal RNA (1761 nucleotides) under Salmonella enterica subsp. enterica serovar Schwarzengrund. RNAcentral's name for it is "partial 23S ribosomal RNA". It matches the Rfam family "Bacterial large subunit ribosomal RNA", at positions 1200 to 2925 of the family's 2925-position model. Lineage: Bacteria; Pseudomonadati; Pseudomonadota; Gammaproteobacteria; Enterobacterales; Enterobacteriaceae. The record is from RNAcentral.
CUGCGGCAGCGACGCUGAUGCGUUGUUGGGUAGGGGAGCGUUCUGUAAGCCUGCGAAGGUGGCCUGUGAGGGUUGCUGGAGGUAUCAGAAGUGCGAAUGCUGACAUAAGUAACGAUAAAGCGGGUGAAAAGCCCGCUCGCCGGAAGACCAAGGGUUCCUGUCCAACGUUAAUCGGGGCAGGGUGAGUCGACCCCUAAGGCGAGGCCGAAAGGCGUAGUCGAUGGGAAACGGGUUAAUAUUCCCGUACUUGGUGUUACUGCGAAGGGGGGACGGAGAAGGCUAUGUUGGCCGGGCGACGGUUGUCCCGGUUUAAGCGUGUAGGUGUGUGUUCCAGGUAAAUCCGGUUCACUUUAACACUGAGGCGUGAUGACGAGGCACUACGGUGCUGAAGCAACAAAUGCCCUGCUUCCAGGAAAAGCCUCUAAGCAUCAGGUAACAUCAAAUCGUACCCCAAACCGACACAGGUGGUCAGGUAGAGAAUACCAAGGCGCUUGAGAGAACUCGGGUGAAGGAACUAGGCAAAAUGGUGCCGUAACUUCGGGAGAAGGCACGCUGACACGUAGGUGAAGUGAUUUACUCAUGGAGCUGAAGUCAGUCGAAGAUACCAGCUGGCUGCAACUGUUUAUUAAAAACACAGCACUGUGCAAACACGAAAGUGGACGUAUACGGUGUGACGCCUGCCCGGUGCCGGAAGGUUAAUUGAUGGGGUCAGCGCAAGCGAAGCUCCUGAUCGAAGCCCCGGUAAACGGCGGCCGUAACUAUAACGGUCCUAAGGUAGCGAAAUUCCUUGUCGGGUAAGUUCCGACCUGCACGAAUGGCGUAAUGAUGGCCAGGCUGUCUCCACCCGAGACUCAGUGAAAUUGAACUCGCUGUGAAGAUGCAGUGUACCCGCGGCAAGACGGAAAGACCCCGUGAACCUUUACUAUAGCUUGACACUGAACAUUGAGCCUUGAUGUGUAGGAUAGGUGGGAGGCUUUGAAGUGUGGACGCCAGUCUGCAUGGAGCCGGCCUUGAAAUACCACCCUUUAAUGUUUGAUGUUCUAACGUGGACCCGUGAUCCGGGUUGCGGACAGUGUCUGGUGGGUAGUUUGACUGGGGCGGUCUCCUCCUAAAGAGUAACGGAGGAGCACGAAGGUUGGCUAAUCCUGGUCGGACAUCAGGAGGUUAGUGCAAUGGCAUAAGCCAGCUUGACUGCGAGCGUGACGGCGCGAGCAGGUGCGAAAGCAGGUCAUAGUGAUCCGGUGGUUCUGAAUGGAAGGGCCAUCGCUCAACGGAUAAAAGGUACUCCGGGGAUAACAGGCUGAUACCGCCCAAGAGUUCAUAUCGACGGCGGUGUUUGGCACCUCGAUGUCGGCUCAUCACAUCCUGGGGCUGAAGUAGGUCCCAAGGGUAUGGCUGUUCGCCAUUUAAAGUGGUACGCGAGCUGGGUUUAGAACGUCGUGAGACAGUUCGGUCCCUAUCUGCCGUGGGCGCUGGAGAACUGAGGGGGGCUGCUCCUAGUACGAGAGGACCGGAGUGGACGCAUCACUGGUGUUCGGGUUGUCAUGCCAAUGGCACUGCCCGGUAGCUAAAUGCGGAAGAGAUAAGUGCUGAAAGCAUCUAAGCACGAAACUUGCCCCGAGAUGAGUUCUCCCUGAGACUUAGAGUCUCCUGAAGGAACGUUGAAGACGACGACGUUGAUAGGCCGGGUGUGUAAGCGCAGCGAUGCGUUGAGCUAACCGGUACUAAUGAACCGUGAGGCUUAACCUUACAACGCCGAAG